UACGAAGGGGGCUAGCGUGGUUCGGAAUUACUGGGCGUAAAGGGCGCGCAGGCGGCCCUCCAAGUCAGGCGUGAAAGCCCCGGGCUCAACCCGGGAAUAGCGCUUGAGACUGGGGGGCUUGAGUUCGGGAGAGGAGAGUGGAAUUCCCAGUGUAGAGGUGAAAUUCGUAGAUAUUGGGAAGACCACCGGUGGCGAAGGCGGCUCUCUGGACCGACACUGACGCUGAGGCGCGAAAGUGUGGGGAGCAAACAGG
Molecule: ribosomal RNA, 253 nt
Filed under: uncultured bacterium
Lineage: Bacteria
Description: partial 16S ribosomal RNA
Rfam family: Bacterial small subunit ribosomal RNA
Source: RNAcentral